GAGGAACUUGUACCGGUCCCUCAUCAGAAAGAAUUUCUCCUCUCACUCACCAGAAAGAAAAUAAGAAGAAAAAAAUGAGGAAGUGUAAAUGAUCCUUUCUUUGUGUCUGGCUUAUCGGCUGAAGGAGAACAGUUGGGUCUGGCACCUGAGGAUGACAAGGGCCCCGGGUGUGCUGUCCUGGGGACUUGAUGAUGACAUUUGGCUUCUUGGGUCAUCAGAAGCAAGGGACGUCCCAGCUCUUCCUGGGGGAGCAGCGGGACAUCAGGAGCUCCUCCCUAGCAGCAGGACUGUGAGUACCCACCUUCUUGUUAAGCCUGGUGAAUUUUGCUCCCCUUACAAAGAGUGAAGGUUAUGGAACUUAGAAAAUUUUGCAGCAACAGGAAGCCAGAAGCCCCACACAGCGGGAUGAACUACCAGCUCCAGAAGGACUGGCCUGUAAAAUGAUAAGGGAGUGGAACUGUGUAACUUAGCCAACGGGUGGUAGCAGGUGGCUGUGGCCUCUUCUGUGGGACUGGCUACCUGGAUGAACAUUCUCUACUCUUGUCAUGAUAUCUUUGUCCAAGAAUUCUUGGUUCCUUCCACCACACUGCAUGAAAAAGCCAAAUGACUGUAAGAUUUCUCAGUUAUAGCUCUCAACUGAGCCUUAAUUAUUCAUACGUGCUGGAUUAAUUAUUCAAGACCAUGAAUUGGCACGUGCAGGGGGGCGGUUACUAGUAAACAGGAGGCUGUGUGAACGGCGUUUGGCGGGAGAGACAAGGCCCGCUGUCUCCUGGGUGAUUCAAUCCGUGGAUGGGCAGAGGCGUUCGUGCAGGGGUGACUUACACGGACUUCGGCGCGGCUCUCUGCUGGUGUGAGGAGUGGCCUUGCCGAUCCUUUCCGGACAGGGAGGAGAGCCGUGGUGAGACUCCGUCCUCAGCGCGUGGCUCCUGGGGCCAGAUUGUAUGUGAUCUCAAAUGGGUGGUAGCUCUGCCGAGAUUUCUUACGUUUGCAUUCUUGAUCGUUUGCUGUGAAAUGUGCUCGUGAGCAGUCAUGAAACAGAUCUUUGGCACAAAUUCUUGUUCCAGUGUAGAGUGCGUGACGUUGAAAGCUGGCAGAACUGAGGACAAGGAACUCAAUCCCAAAACGAAUGUGGACUCCUUCCGCUGACGGGGUGGCCGGGGUCUUCUGCGAUAUCCCGGCGGGAUGGGUGGCCGGAGCAGCCUCUCCCCUGCCCGGCUUCACCUCCUCACCCGGCAGAGCCCUUGAGCCCCUGUCAGUGGAGGCUGCUCGUUCCCCUACAGCGUGUACCCAGGUUUGCAGUUAGCUCCAGCAGACGCUACACUCCCGCCCCCGCUGCGAGGAGGCUGGCUCCCCUCCCCCUCCACGGUCAUGCCUGUCCUCCAGGGCCGUCCAUCUUCCUCCGCAUCCCUCUCCUCUCCUCCCUGGCGUGGAUGUUAACCAUGUAGCCUUAGCUCCUGGAUCUUUCCCUCGGUAACAUUUUCUUCUGUGCCCCCUCAGCCACCCAUUCCCAUGGCCACACUCUAGACUUUAAUGAUCUGAAACUGUACCAGCUCCAAAAUAAUAAAACCAAACGCCAACAUCUGGCCGCAACCUCCUAUUCUUUCUAGCUCACUGGCUUAUUGAUUCUCACUGUUAAAAAAAAAUUAUUGUCGUAAAAUAUAUACAACAGAAAAUUUACCAUUUAAACCAUUUUUGAACCAUUUUAAAGAGAUCUAAGGCACUAUAUAGUUAAUAUAGACAAUAACAUUGUACUAUAAUUAUGUAAUGUGAUAAAUCUCGCUACAUUGGUAAUCAUAUUACAAUAUAUAAUGCAUAAACGUAUCAAAAUAACACGCCUUAAACUUACACAACGUUACAUAUCAAAUCCAUUCAAUAAAAAAUUUAGGGGCCGGCCCCCUGGUGGAGCAGUUUGAGUGCUCCGCUUUGGCUGCCCAGCGUUUCGCUGGUUCGAAUCCCAGGGCGGCCAUGGCACCCCCCAUCAGGCUAAGGUGAGGCAGCGUCCCACAUAGCACAGUCAGAGGCGCUCAUAACUAGAAUAUACAACUAUGUACUGGGGGGCUUUGGGGAGAAGAAGAAGAAAGAAUGUGUUAAAUAAACCAUUGUUAGGUGUCAAGUUCAGCAGCAUUCAGUAUAAUCACACUACUGUGCAACCAUCACAACCAACCACGUCCAGAACUCUUCAUCUUGCAAACUGAUGCUCUGUCUCCAGUAAACACUAACUCCCGGUUGCCCCUGCGCCCCAAGCCUUGGAAACCCCCAUCCUGCUUUCUGUCUCUAUGAAUUUGAUUACUCUAGGGACCUCAUAUAAGUGGAAUCAUACAGUGUUUGUCCUUUUAACGUCUGGCUUAUUUCACUUAGCAAAAUGUCUUCAAGGUUCAUCCAAGUUGCAGCAUGUGUCAGAACUCCCUUCCUUUUUCAGGCUGAAGAAUAUUCCAUUAUAUGCAUGUGCCCCCAUUUUGUUUGUCCAUUCAUCAGUUGAUGGACACGGGUUGCUUCUACUUCUUGGCUAUUGUGAGUAAUGCUCCUAUGAACAUGAGUGUACAUGUACCUGUCUGAAUCUCUGCUUUCAGUUAUUUUGGGUACAUACCUGGGAGUGGAAUUGCUAGGUCAUAUGGUAAUUCUAUGUUUAACUUUUUGAGGAAGAAAAUUUUCUGUUUAACUUUUUCCUGCUUUUACACAGCCAUUUUGCAUUCUCACCAAUAAUGCACAAGGGUUCCAAUCUGUCCACAUCCUCACCAACACUUGUUAUUUUCCCUUUAUUUUUUCUGGUUUUAAUAAUAGCCACCCUAAUGGUUUUGAUUUGCGUUUCCCUAAUGGCUAGUGAGGUUGAGCAUCUUUUCAUGUGCUUACUGGCCAUUGCUUGUAUAUCUUCUUUGGCUAUUUUUUAAUUGGGUUUCUUUUUGUUGUUGUUGGAUUGUAGGGUUUUUAAAAAUAUAUUCUGGAUAUUAAUCCCUUAUCAGAUAUAUGAUUUUCAAUAUUUUCUCCCAUUCUGUGGGUUCCUUUUCACUUUGUUGACAGUAUCCUUGGAUGUACCAAAAUUUUUCAUUUUGAUCAAGUCCUAGUUAUCUACUUUUAUUUUGUUGCCUGUGCUUUUGGUGUCAUAUCCAAGAAAUCAUUGCUAAAUCCAAUGUCACGAAGCUUUUCCCCUGUGUUUUCUUCUGAGUUUUAUAGUUUAGCUCUUAUGUUUAGGUCUUUAAUCCAUGUUGAGUUGAUUUUUGUAGACGGUGUAAGGUAAGGGUUCAAUUUCAUUCUUUUGCAUGAAUACUCAGUUUUCUCAGCACCAUUUGUUGAAAAAAAUUGUCCUUUCCCCACUGAAUGGUCUUGGCACCCGUGUCAAGAAUCAUUUGACUAUCUGUGUGAGGGUCUGUCUCUGGGCUCUCUAUUCCAUGAAUCUGUGUAUCAGUGUUUAUGUGUUAAUUACUAUAGCUUUGUAAGCCUUAAAAUCAAGAAGUGUGAAACCUUCAACUUUGGUCUUUUUCAAGGUUGUCUUUGCUAUUCGGAGUCCCUUGAGAUUCCGUUUAAAUUUUAAGAUGGGAUUUUCUAUUUGUGCAGUUUUUUGACUUACAGAGUUCUUCCAAUCCAUCAACCCUCUUAUUCAAGUUCUUUUCCACGGUCCAUCAUUAUCACUGCCUUCCUGCAAACAUUCUCAACUCCCUUGCCCCUCUGUCUCUCUGUCACUCAAGCUUGGGUACCCCACUGUCUGCCUUCUCCCUGCCUGCACUAAUGCCCUACUGCGGUAGUAUCUCCACCCUGCCGCCGAGACUCUCCUCUGACAACGACAGCUGAUCCACAUUGAUUGCUGGCUUGGAGCCCGGCACAGUUGUAAGCACUUUAUAUGAACCACUCAUUUAAUCCUCUUAUUUCAGUAGAAUAUUUCUGGAGAAAACAGGACAGACUGUAUCACUACACAUUCAUAAUCAUUAACACAAUCAAAUACUCAGCCCUGCCCUACAAUCCUACUAUUUCUUCCAGUAAGCUGGCUUUUCCACUCUCCAAAAUGAUUAUUUCUCACCUGAGCGUUCUCCCAAGCUUCACCUCUCCACACCCCUCUCAGCAGGUGGCCUUGCUUCACAGUCCACCAGAAACACAGAAGUGGUCAGAUGGCAGCUCUGUCUACUGAGUCCACAGAUCUGUUGCCUCCACCCUUGUCUUGUCAUUCAUUCUUUUGGAGCUGGAGUCCUUGAUCCCAUCCCUUCUCAGUCUCUCAACAAUUUUAUUCCCUUUGCUGUUUCCUCUCUCACCCUCUUCAACCUCUCUAUCUAUUGCGUACAAAUGCGGUGGAGUGUUUACCACCACCACAAAAAAAAAGAGAAACAAACACCUCCCUUGAUUUCACAUCUUCCUCUGGCUUAACAUGUCCAAAGCAGCUUCUCUUUGUCUUUCCUUCUCCAAACCUCAUUUUCCCAGUGAUCGCCAUCUUGGUGAAUGGCACCUUCAACUACCCAUGUGCUCCAUCUGGAAACUUGGGAACCCAUCUUGACACUCGCCCCCCUCUACCUCCCCGACAUUCAUGCCAUGGCGAAAUCCUGAAGAUUCUACCUUCACAUUAUAUCUUGCAUCCAUCCACUUCCCUCCAUCCUCGCUGCCACCUGCCAGUCCAAGCCACUACCAUCUCUUUCCUGCACUCUUUUCGUCACGAUGUGGGGAAAGGAGAAACUGGAGGAGCAGGAAGGCCCUCAUCUGAAGGGCUGUUAACCCUGGGGCUGCAGGGCCUGCUCGAUAUUCGUCAAGACACCCACCUCCUCCUGCCCCCACACGCGGGAUUGUUAGUUUGCUAUUUCUCCAGGGAUGGUAACGCCUGGAAUAGCUGGAGAAAAUGUGUCUGAAUAAAUGAUUCCCAC
RNAcentral lists this long non-coding RNA (4841 nucleotides) under Equus caballus (horse). RNAcentral's name for it is "lncRNA (ENSECAG00000053457.1)". The record is from RNAcentral. Lineage: Eukaryota; Metazoa; Chordata; Mammalia; Perissodactyla; Equidae.